Myotis lucifugus (little brown bat) is the source of this 106-nucleotide small nuclear RNA. The record is from Ensembl. NCBI's taxonomy places the organism in Eukaryota, Metazoa, Chordata, Mammalia, Chiroptera, Vespertilionidae.
GUGCUCGCCUCGGCAGCACAGAUACUAAAAUUGGAACGAUACAGAGAAGAUUGCAUGGCCCCUGCGCGAGGAUGACACGCAAAUCCAUGAAGCGUCCCACAUUUAU